RNAcentral lists this ribosomal RNA (425 nucleotides) under uncultured bacterium. Its description in RNAcentral is "partial 16S ribosomal RNA". It matches the Rfam family "Bacterial small subunit ribosomal RNA", at positions 354 to 796 of the family's 1533-position model. The record is from RNAcentral.
GUGGGGAAUAUUGCACAAUGGGCGAAAGCCUGAUGCAGCGACGCCGCGUGAGCGAAGAAGUAUUUCGGUAUGUAAAGCUCUAUCAGCAGGGAAGAUAAUGACGGUACCUGACUAAGAAGCACCGGCUAAAUACGUGCCAGCAGCCGCGGUAAUACGUAUGGUGCAAGCGUUAUCCGGAUUUACUGGGUGUAAAGGGAGCGCAGGCGGUGCGGCAAGUCUGAUGUGAAAGCCCGGGGCUCAACCCCGGUACUGCAUUGGAAACUGUCGUACUAGAGUGUCGGAGGGGUAAGCGGAAUUCCUAGUGUAGCGGUGAAAUGCGUAGAUAUUAGGAGGAACACCAGUGGCGAAGGCGGCUUACUGGACGAUAACUGACGCUGAGGCUCGAAAGCGUGGGGAGCAAACAGGAUUAGAAACCCGUGUAGUCC